Molecule: long non-coding RNA, 9381 nt
Organism: Gallus gallus (chicken)
Lineage: Eukaryota; Metazoa; Chordata; Aves; Galliformes; Phasianidae
Exons: 18
Source: RefSeq, a predicted model, not a curated record
AACUGUGCUUGUGGCAGUCAGGGGGUUCUGACCCACUCAUACUAAAAGAUGUAGUGGAGAACGAAAGAGGUCAUGGACUAAGCCUCUCCAUGAAAUGGAGAGCAACACUUGUGCUGCAGCAACCUUGUAAUGUGAAAGAUCAUCCUGAGACUUUGGGAGGAGUGCUGGACAAUGUGGGAAGAUCUCCAUCUUAACUCUGUAUGAGAGCAAGAGGGCAAAAAGAAUGAAAUGAAGCAGAAAAAGAAUCUCCUCUAACUCAGAAGUCACCUGAAUUGCAAGAGCUGCACUUCUGCUUUCACUCUGCCGUGGAUUUGCAUUGUCUGAUGCCAGAGACAGGAGUCCUGACACUCACCAGCCUGCCUUGGAGAAGAGUAGACAGUUUGUACCUCAGAAACCACUGGCCCUGAAAGAAUAGGAAUGUAGGAGUCAAGGGGAAAUAUCACAAGAGUGAUGGACUGUGAGGCUCCCAGGUUCCCUCUGCCAUUGCAGAGCUCUUCGACCUAUUGUAAUCGUCACCAGACAAAAUGAGUCUUUUUCCUUCCAGACAGAUUGGAGGCAAAGGACAGUGCUUUAGAGUCAAUGUUACAUUUAAGAAACAACAUGCAAUUCAAACCUUGUAAUUAUCAUGAUUUUUCAGACUGGCAGUGAAGAUGGGAGCAAGAAGGCAGCAGUGAACCUGGGAGAAAGGAGAGACUUUUUUUCAUUUUUUUCAGCUUCUAUUUCUUCCCCACUGACAAAAGAAAGAAAAUAAGGACUUUCAUGGAAAACUAAAUUAAGGUGAAGGCUGAUAUCUUAAUAGGCUCUGCCUAGAUCUGUGCAUCUCAAUUCUUGAUGGGCCUCCAGUUUGUUCCUGUACUGAUUGCUGUCCUCGGUGCUGCAGUUUUUUGAGGUGAUCCCUUCCUUGUCGUGUGAAGCUUUCCCAGCCUGAUUUUAAGUCUGGUCAGGUUCCUCCUGCUUCCUCCCAUUCUGGAAAGUCCUAGAUUCAAAGCCCUGAUGACUUCAGUUUAGAUCCAGGUUUAUCCAGGAAGAAAGGCAAACAAAAGUGAAGGAAUAAAUACAAAUACCAAAACAGCUCCAGAUGAAAGGCAGUAAAAUAACUGCCUGCUGCUCCCUCUUGAAAGGCUGGCAGCAACUCGGAGCAUCUUCCUGUGUUCCUAGUGCAAAGGAUUGGCUUCCAUCAGUAAUGUGUCCAUCUGAAUCUCUCUAACUCCUCCAGGUCCAACCAGAAGAUGUGGGAGCAAUUGCAGUAGGUUCCUCAGAAGCUUCACAGACGGAAUGAGAAAACUAAGCCAGAACAAACCAGCCCUUGCAAGGUUUGAAGAAACAGCAGUGUCAGAUUUGGGGACAGAAUGGAAAAACUAUGUUUUCACAUCUUCUGACAUGCCCUGGGUACAUCUCAUACAUAAGUGCUUGUGAUGGGAGUCUCCCUUCUUGAAAAAGUAAGCCAGAGAUGAACUUAUUGAAGAAAGUUCUGUUCCACUCCCUACUAGUCCCUAGGGAAAAAGAAACGGACCAGUAACUGAACACUUUUUCCUUCCUGGCAAUUUAGUUUGCUGAACACUUACCCAUUUCUUCAGGAGAAAAUUUCUACUCUGUGCUCUGACAUUAAUAACUCAUUUUUCAAGUUAUGUAAUAAGUUUUUGAUCAUUAUGCAUUCAUCUGCAGAUAAUUUGUAUGUCAUAUCCACUACAAGGAACAGUAAAGAAUCAGUAAAGCAAAACAAGUAAAGCAAAACAGUAAAGCAAAACAGCAAAGCAAACGAGUCAACCAUCCAACCAACAUCUUUCUCUCUGUGCUUUAUCUAUUUGUAUGUAAUUGACUUGCAGUUGGUUGAUUUCUCAAAUCAGAUUUGUAAGACUGAUUUGCAAUUAGUAACAUCUCUAUUUAGAUAUAUAUAUAUUUUUAAUUCUGAUUUCCAUCUUUCUGUAACUCACUUAUGUCAUUGUCAAUGUUGGACAUUCUUCAGAUGACAAGCGCUAUCAGACAAACAACAUUUUUCCUUCAUUUUUGGAUUUUUUUUUAAAUGUAUAGUUAUUUCUGACUGCCACGAAUCUAAUACUCAAAGAACUAAUUAUGUAAAAUCAGAUUUUGACCAAAGUAGCUUAUCUAGCCACUGAAUAACAACAACAAAUAGCCAGAACUUCACAAAGCUGCAGUGCAGACAGCUAAACUCCUUUGGAAAUGUGCUUUCUAUGCAGUCAUAUGCUGGCAAAGAUGUCAGACUAAUUGCUGUGACUUUCCAUUAUGCAGCCCAAGAAUCCCUUUCUCAGCAUUCCCAAGCAAUAUCUCAUUGAUCGGGCCAGUUCAGAGAGUGAGUAAUCUACAAAAACGGCUUCUUCUUCCUGCUGAGAAUUCAGCAGAAAUGCUGUUUACAUCAUAGACUUUUCUAGCGAGGAUGUCUUUUUUCUACAAGUUUGACUAGAGCCGUGCAAACUGGUUUUGCAACUGUCUCUGGCUCCUAGUGUUUGUAACACUGAGCUGGUUAAAAGUGGUCAUAAAACAAUACAAAGUGAAGGUGAAAGAUGUGGCAUUAUAUUGCUACUUCUCAAGUUAUUCUGUCUGUGUUUAUUUUCAACAUGGAGAAAAAAAAUCUUUCAGAACAUUUCAUCAAGUGCUGCUAGUUAAACUGAAGUGAAGGCACUUGGUUCAUUGGUAGUAGCUGGAAAGGCAGCAUGUCAUUUCACACUCUGCCCCAGCCUUUAGAAAGUCAGAAAAGCCUUUAAUAUCACAUUCCCUGGGCCUACAUUACCCUCCUCCACAGCUUUCCGAAGGAUUUUCUCCAAAUAUCUCCAAGAAAUUAACCCCAUACCUCUCUGCUUUAGCUGCCUUCAAUCUCACUUUGGAAGCAGUGGUGGGAUAAAGGUGCUGACUGGUCAGACCUGUGGUUGAGUGAGUGAGUAAAAAAGCAAAGUCUAUGUUUCUGAGCCCAUAGUUUGAGAGAGAAGUGGAGACAGAAGCAUGUGGAGCCUCAGCACGGACAGGGGCAGAGCUCAGGCUUGCACCUGCAUUAAAUUUGUACCAUCUAAACACAGCAGACUGUUGUCUGGACAGAGUCAUAGUCAUUGGAAUCCCACAGGAAACUUAUAUCCAUUAAUCAGGAAAAACGCUGGCAGAAGGCAACCACAGGCCAAGAUGAAACUUCUGUAUACCAGAGGUCAUUUUUAUAGUGUGCUCUGUGGUGAUGGGCUUGCUGUGUUUGAGUCACAAGGAAAUUGCUGCUGGGCAAGCCCUCAGCCUGCUGUUCUCAGGUGCUGCUGCCUGCUCAUCCGAGUACUUGACCUCACACAAAGCAAGUACAGAUCUUUCUGGAGAGCUACUGUCCUCUGAAUGCAAUCUUUUGUGCCACAGGAGCCAGAUGGGGCAAGGCAAAGUAGAGCCUGAGAUCACAGUGGUAGGUGGAUAGCUUUGGCAUUUGUGGUAUUAGUCCUGAAUGUCACCAUAAGAACAAUCCAACAGGGCAGUAUUAUAUGUAUACAUUAUAUUUUUCCCUUUUGAAACUGAAAUUUGAAUCAGAAACAGUUCUACCUUAAGCAAGGAACAAAGACACAUCAGGGACAUCCAAGAGUACCUCUCUAGAGUUAGUUAAGAUUUAGGGUACAGCUGUUACCUCAGUGGCUCUCAGAGAAGAAAAACUUAUUUCUGCUCAAAAUUCUUGCCUGACAGAGAUUAUGAGACACUGCCAAGAAAUCCAGACUGGUUUGACACCCAUUAGAACACAGAAAUACAUCCUCCAAUCUGAGCAGCGUGAGCAGAAACAAGGAGAAGAGAUACACACCCACACAAGCACCACAGUGUUGAACUGUGCCUUGUGCUGUGGUGUUCUAAAGAAAUCCCUGCAGAGUAGCUAAAGUUUUUGCAAAAAUACUCUUAGCAAUACAUCGCUGGUAAAGAGCUUUCUGUGAUAUAUAAGGUCUGAGAGGCUGCAGCUCUGUGGCCAUAAUUCACUACUUUUUCUUGAAAAUAAAUCUUGCUCCAAGUAGCAUGAAAUGAAGGUAGGGAAAGGCAGGGAGAGUGGAGAUAUUUCAAAGAAAAUCAAAGGAAUAAUUGCUGUUCAGGACCAAUUUUGUCUUAAUUCAGCCUGUACAUUUUACAGGUGCAUGCUCAGCCCUCCUUCACCUGUCCUGUUAAGUCACAAGACCUAAGAUUUCUUGCAGAUCAGAUAAUACUGAUACUGAAAAAAGACCCUGCAAAAGGACAGCCUGUACACAGUAGUCAUUGUGUUGAUACAGAAGACAUGAAUUUGGUUCUUUUUUCUGGAAGGGAAUCUUUGGGUAACAGCAGAACAAGAAAGGUGAGAAGAGUAUACAGAUAAUAAAAGUCAUUGUUCUGAGUGAGUGCAUGUGAUAGAUAUUGAACACUUCAUUCACCCUUCUCAGAGUAAGCACUUGGGGACAUUUGAAAUACCCUGGAGUAUCCAAAAUGUUCACAGAGAGUUGGAAGAUAUCGUACAGAACCUGAGGGAUGCCCUGGAGCAGCUGCUGGAAUCCAGGCAGAGUACCAUAGGGCAUCCCAGAUGACUUCAGAUGACUGAAGUGAGACAAAUGAACAGAGCCCUGGAACCUUGCUUUAUCAAGCUGGUUUGGAGGCCUGUAUGCAAUAAAUUGAUAUAUGCUAUUUUACCUACCCAUUCUCUCUCUCUCUCUCUCUCUCUCUCUCUCUUUUUUUUUUUUUUUUCCUAAAAAAAAAAGCCCUUUACCACCUUCAAAUUGAAACGAUAUACAAGAUGUAUAAUAAUAGGUAAUAUCUAAAGUGAGAGCUGAUCUUGCAAGUGGUAGCCCUCUCAUUUUAUAUGGCCACAUGGAAAACAAAGGUAGUUUGCAGGGGUAAGCUCACUUUUUCUGUAGGACUGCUACAGCUUAGAUCCAGGGUAGAAGGGCACCAGAGAGGUAAUGUUGUCUGAGCAGCAGUGGUGAGUACUAUCUUUGUGCUACGAAUUCACACGGAAAACUAUGAAGCUAUUGAUAGGCGUACAGAAGAUGUAAAUCUUCAAUUUGCCCACAAAUCGAACAAAAGAAAAGGGUUCUGGCCCAAACACUGGGUUAGGAUUAUAUACGCACACACACACACUCACACACACACACACACACACACAAAACAGUGGAUCUAUUUCUUAAUCAUAAAAGCAAAAGUGGAGAACAAUCAUUCAAACUUGCCAUCACCUCUGUUAUUGAAUAAUCUUAUAUCUAAGCUCAACAAGACUAGCAAAAAAAUCUUUUUGUAUAAAAUGCAGAUGCCAUUUUACAUACUUACAUACAUGAAAGACAGGAAAUUAAGGAUGAAUAAUCUUUGAGAGGAAGAAAUGAGGAGAGAAAAGGAGUUAAGAAUCCACAUAUAGCUCCAAGGAAAGCUGACAGGAGCAAUUAGAUACAAAAUUUAACAUACUUUUUUAGCUCAAGGAUAUCUCCUAUAAAUAUAAGUUAAGAUGCAGAUUGUCCCCAGGGGCUGAUUUCCAAACCAUGUGGGUUAAGAAAAUGCCUAACAGCUUGUCAGCUGGAAACAGGUGAAGAGAUCAAUCUUUAGAUUUAAUCUCAGAAUAAGUAGAUUAAAUAUAGUUUUCUUUCUGUUCUCUUACAUAUUUAUAAAUCUUCAUAGUGUUUAUUUUUUGAUUUUAUAAGUAGAUAUAUUCUUUAUUUGCUUUUGCCUUUACCUCCCUUGAGAUGAGGAUGACUUCAAGGCAACUGCAUAGUGCUAUUGUGCUCUGCAUCAAGAGAUAAUGUGAGCCAUAUAGACUCAUUCCUUACCCAACCUCUGAGUACACAGUACCCCAGUGGAAGAGUUUCAAUGUCAAUGAUUUAGUGGAGUUUUUCACCAUAGGUUUCCUCAUCUUGGUUUAAGAGUGAUUAUGGAGAAAGCAACAUGGCAGCCAUACUACCACUACUAGCCCAGAAGAUUGCUUGGUACAUGCUUGGUUAAUGGGAAAAUUCCAUGAUCUUAUGAGCUGCUGUGAGAGCUUGCAACAUAGCUCAUCAUGGAACUCACUCAACACAGGGAGGGAACAUGUAGUUUUAAACUGCCUCAGACCUUUCAUCUGAUUCUCCUCCUUUAAUAUAUACACCUAAAUUUUCUGUACAGUCUCCAGCAAGGGCAGCUUGCUGCUGUGAAAUCUUCUGGAUGAGAGUAUGGGCUUGUUUCUCCUGGGCCUCCUACCUUUUAACCUGGUGUAACACUGAUCUUCAACAGCAGGCAAAGUCCCCUGUCUGUUCAUCCACCUCUUGGGCUGUGGAGGACUUCUAUGUGUCCCUUGGUGUCAGACAGAGAGCCUUAAAUUGCCAUUGCAAGCAGACCCAUCAAACAGACCAUGCUGGCAUCAUUACAGUAUUCAUCAUCUGUGCGCCACAGAGACAAAUGCUUUCCCAGAGCCAGGGCUAUGGGAGUCAACACUGCAAACAGUAAAGUAUUCUCUCUUUCCUUGCCAGAUACUCCUUGCAGGAUGGCAGGAGAUCAUGGGACCAGAAUUGAUUUUACAUUUUUCCUGCCUGUGAACAUUAUGUAAACCUUUGAAAUCAUACACAAAUGUUUCCUAACAAUAUAUUAAUAAUCUGUACAUGUAGUUUAUUGCCAGAGAAAGUCAUCCAACCAAUGCAGGGAUUGGAACUUAAAAGGGAUGAAUGCUUUUAUGGUCACUGACAAUAUUUGUAUUUUUAUUAACCCAAUAAAGGAGAGGUUGAAUCUCAUGGGCACAGGGUCAGGAAGGGUGCUGGCCUUUCCUUCAUAGCACAAUGUAACCUGCCAAAUGCAUUAGAUUGCUUCCCAACUGCUCCAAGACUGUGUGACAGAAGUUACUGGGUCACUGUGAAAUUCGGUGCAGUCCCAUAACGUUACUUAGUGCUGAUUCUUUAGUGAUAAAAAUAAGAUAAAUUCUUUCUCGCAUUGCAUGUUGAUGAGCAGAAUUUAAAAUAGCUCACUUCUAUUUUUCAUCUGGUGGCAAAAAGGUAGCAGCUGUAAUGAAGUGUGGUUAGAGUUUAAGUAUUUUUUUGACCCUUUAAAUGAAUACCUUAACUCUACAGCUUUUAACCUUUCUAAACUGUUAAUGGAAGGCAUUCUUUCCCGUUAGGUAACUAAUAUGUGUGAAUCAUCCCAGGAUAAAAACAUGACACAGGCUAGACACUUCAGUAAACUAAAUCUCCUCAUGUGAAUCCAUUUGUAGAUUCACAGCCGGAAGCUUGAGAUAUAAUAUUAUGUAAAUGAGAAAAUAUCAUAAGUGAUUUCGUAUGAUGAUAUUUUCAGCAUCCUUCUUAGAAAUUCCGUACCAACAUACAGUAUUUAGGCAUGCAGCAUACAGUAUUUAGGAGUGCAUUAUUUAAUUUUUUUUCUGUUAUUUUAAUUCCUGAAAUAUUGCACGGUAGACAAGAGCACCACAGUAGUUCAUUUCCCACAACCCACACCUCUUUUUUUCCUUCUUUUUCAUGGUUUUAGAAAAAAAAUGCACUGACUGUCAUAUCUGGUGUUCUACAUAUCUUUGUGGUUAGUUAAGGGAGACUUCAAGCUGCAUCAUGCAUGAAAUUACUUAGGAAAACCUAUUCCACAACUUCUGAGAACCUUUGUACCUUUAAGACAGGAUUAAUCUUUCUUAUUUUUGCCUCUAAACAGUAAGUGUCGCUGCAUCCUGGUCACAAGCAGAUAGUGACUCUCUCAGAUGCUGUCUUAGAACGGGAUGAAUUACCUGUGGGCACGGCAAUAUCUCUCCACCACUUUAGAGACUAUAGAAGAAGUCUAAGAUCAUUUGAUGCAUAAUAAAGACUCAUCCUGGAAGAAAGCUCAGCUAAUUUCUCAAAAACACAAGUGGGCUUUCAGCAGAAUGAAGCAUGUGACACAACUGCAGAAGGCAAAGUGACCCAUGGCAAAGAACCUUUAAAUCAAGGCUUUUUUUCUACCAGCUCAUAUUUUUCAACUUCUUCAAAGACUCAGUCAAAGGAACCAGGUGAAAGAGGAGCAAAGCUCUGAAGAAGUGAAAUCCUUAAUCAAUGCAGUAUUUUCAAAGGAGAGUUGUAACACAGAAGGAACUGGAAAUUUGCCAACAAAGGAGGCAUCUGAAAGAGAAGAUAAAUAUUUAGCCAUUGAGAUCUGUUAAAGUACAAAACAUCAUCUAUUAUUCAGAUUCAAAAUUAUGUUAUUUAAAUAUUGUCACAGCUGUCAUACAAACAGGACUAUGAAAGCAAAUUACAAGUACAGGGCUAUGACAAGAGGAAAAUUAUUCCUGGUCAGAAACAGGAUCUCUUUACUCUGAUGAGGUCAAAAGCAGUUUAGCUGAAGAGGGAACAGAAUCAUUUUCAGCACUGUUAGAAAAAGCACAUGGACAAGGAGUUGGUUCAACAUAAUGUCAGGAUUUCUUUGCCAGCUCUGGAAAGUGUUUUGCCUUGUCUUGAAGAACUAUUUCAUUUCCUCCCAAAAUGCAAGAGCUUCAGAAACCGUCAAGCAUCUUAAGAAGGUACACAAAACUUAAAGCUGACACUCAAGUACCAAGAGAACUGUACGCAACAGCAAGGGCAACUGGAAGUCAUGUAGAGUGCCUCUCAGUCUAUAAUUGCCAAAGGAGUGCUGCCACUGAACAGAUACAUUAUUGGAGCAAGGAGGAGCCCAGGGAGAGGCGAAGAGAGCAAGAAAAAUCUGACAAGCAGAGGAACAACGAGAACAGACAAGGAGAAAAACCUGUCAGUGGAAACCUAAUCCAACUCCAAGGAAUAUACAGCACUGCUCAAAGCAGAAUCUACAUGAUGACAAGGUCAUUUUCAUCUCAUCAGCUAUGAAGCGCAGCCUGGCACCUUCCUCCCCCAUCUCUUUCCCCACAGAGAUACAGAAGGAGAGAAUGAGUUGAAUGACAGGUGAUCAAGGUGCUGCGCUGAGUAAACAGCUGCUGGCAAUGCAAGGUUUAAAGAGCUGACAGAGCGGAUAGGUGUUGAGCUAUGCUGUUAAAAUGGAUUUAUCUUCACAAAGGAAGGACUUACCAAGAUAAGAGUGUUUAAGCACCAGCUAAUGCUCAGGAAAAGCAGGUACUGGAGGAUCAUGACCUUGUCAGUGAGGCCACUGUCCCUCUGGUAAUGCUCCCCCUGCUGCUGGCUCGUGCUUGACAGCCUACAGAACAGCCUGCUCCUGCCUGACAUGAACUACACUGAAAGUGCAGAGAUGAUCUUAAGAAAAAGACUCUCACAAAUACUCAAAACUUAGGUGGUAAAAACAAAACACAUUUGGUAAACCAUUUUUCAGUGAAACAUAUACUCUACUGCAGCUCUGCAACCACAUAUUCUUGAUGUACCCAGUCAAGGACUCAGGACUUUUGCAGGCUAUGCUCUCCCCUAGAAAUCUUUGAACCUCUUACUUUCCCACUGUAUGCCUACAACCGUGUUCUUGUCAUAUAUGACCAUAAACCAUUAAUGCAUAACC